This is a long non-coding RNA of Clupea harengus (Atlantic herring), 3459 nucleotides long. RefSeq lists it as uncharacterized. The record is from RefSeq and is a predicted model, not a curated record. Lineage: Eukaryota; Metazoa; Chordata; Actinopteri; Clupeiformes; Clupeidae. The transcript is spliced from 2 exons.
CCUCGGUGUAACCUAAAUACAUUUCCCACGUUGGCACAUCUUCAUUUGACAUCAAGUCUCACUUUUUCAGUGUAAACAACGAUAGAAACUAAGCGCCUCAAGGUAUUAUUUUGGCAACAUGCAGGCGAGUCCAACCCCACAACCCACUAACUUGCGCGCUGUGCGACUCAUGAAACAACACGAGUCGGCUGGAGUGCACUGCCCCGCUAUGUCAUUCAGUGUGGCGUAAGGCAAGGAAGGGUUGGCUUAGUGGAAAGAGUUUUUCAUACACACAAACACGCUCUCAUUCACUCGCUGGUGAAGCAACACGCAGCAUAGGUCGCACUUAUGCUGUGACUGAAAUAGUGUCAUUAGACAGGCUACGUCAGAUAAUUAAACGUUUUAAAGAAAACCAGAGGAUUAAUACCCUAAUCGCUGACAGCAUCUUGUGAGAUAUAACUGCUCCAGGACAUUAAUCUGGUUUAAGUACAGACUUCCUUGGACACGGACUAAACAGUGAAAGUUUGCGAUGUCUGGAUCUUACUGUAGAAGUUUGUAUGCUUUCAGCGGAGAGCAACACCAACUUGGUUUGAGAUUCGAGGCGGGGGAAAUUAUAAAAAUAACUCAACCUUUGUCCGGCGGAUGGUGGGAAGGAGAGAAGGAUGGAGAGAGGGGAUGGUUUCCCUCAAGUUACGUUCAGGUCUUGGAGAGGUCUGCCUCCAUGACCAUGCUGCCUUGUGACGACCCCAACCAGUCGCCCCUGCCCAGAGACUGGAAAUGCUACAUGUCUCCUCAAGGAAGAAAAUACUACGUCAACACCGUCAGUAACGGUAAGUGCAGCAUAACCCUAUUGUAGUGUCAUUUUUGUCCCUCUCAUCUUUCCAUAUAAUAGCUGACUAUGGAAGAGAUCUGACCCUGCUCUGGCCUGGGUUCGAGCCCGAUCAGGACCUGGGUCCAAUCUAAAGGCAUCUGUGGUAUAGACCUCCUUCACUGUGUGGCCAGCUGUAUAUGCAGAGGCCACUCUACAUAAAACUUUGAGGGUGAGGCUGUAAAACGUCUGUCGAGGACGAUCGUCCCUUUUUGCCCCGAGUGGAGUAGCACGGAGCUGCGUCUGGUUGGUACCACGGGGUGGGGUGGCAGAUCAGAAGCUCCAUGGGCAUUGUCUUUCAACAAUCCCUGCUCUGUCCACCCGCCUGCCCGCCCGCGGCUCUUGCUGGACUGGUAGUGCAAUGCUGCCCCCCUCUAUGUCUCCCUCCUCCUCCUUACACAACGCUUCCAUCUGCUCUCUCUUAAGACAAGUGUGGUCUAGGAGGAACAGAAACAGUAUCGCAAGUGCCAGUAGUAUCAUGUUUGCUCCCAGCCGUGUGUGUGUGUGUGUGUGUGUGUGUGUGUGUGUGUGUGUGUGUGUGUGAAAUUAUGACCACUGAGUAUUACAUUUAUGGCACUGUUGUAGGAGGAAAUAUGCUUAUCUGCCAAGAUCACUGCACUCCCACGGAGCAUCCGCAGCAGAUUCACAUUCAUGUUGUGUGGGGGCACAUUACAGUCACAUGUAGCUGGUCAAUGUUUCUUUCUUUCUGUGAAAAAAAACCCCACAUCUGGAUGCUACAUGGAAUGAAUGAGUCACGAUGGGAGCCAAAUGAUAUGGAUGUCAACAUGCAUGCAAAGGAUCCUGGUUUCAAAAUAACACACUAAAGAGGCCUACGGUUUCGCUGGUCGCGACAUGACUCCGCCCAAAUAAAAAAAAAUGGUAGUGUUCUUGUAAAUGGGAAACGAAAAAGGCAAAGUGGUCUUUUACAUCAGUCAUUCAUGGCUCUCUUAAACCCACAAACCCACCCACAGCUGGAAUCCUAAAAAUGGCACUGGAGUUGAAUUGAAUAUGUAUUUCACCCAAUUUCCAUUCAAGCCUUACUCCCAAAAAACACCAGAUACUGUCACUUCAUUGUCGAGAUUUCACCCAAACCCUGAAAUUUUAAACUUCUGCAUCUACCUACAUUUCUCUUACCUCAGCACAUUCUCCCUUGUGUGUUAAAGUUCGCGCCGAUUACAUGGUUGUGUUGUCAUGAUGUUUGAUCGCCAUGGUUACAGCAGAGUUGCGUGGGUGAAUGAUGUCCUUGAGAUAGGGCCUCUCUCCUGCUUACUCUCUGUGGCUGUGUCUUGCUUGGUUUGCUGCUCGCGCUCCCCAGCUGAGGCUACCCGCAAACAGUUUCAUAAAGGCGGAAACAUCGGUGUUAGAUCCGCCACACACACAGUCCUAUUCUCUCGUAAGGGAAAGAAAUUGGUUCUGUGGCUUUCGAGUAACGUGGAACCCCUUGGGUUUUUAAAUGUACGGCAUACAUACGGCCUUUGUGGUAUGUGAUUCCAGCGUAGAUUUCUGUGAUGAAAAACCGGCUGCCAUGUGGGUCCCAGGUGUCAGAUUGUUGUUUCCGACCAUUAGUGUACAACUGCAUAUUUCAUCAUAUUGUGUCAUUUCGUGUUUAAAAAAAAAUAUAUAUUAUAAUUAUUAUAUUGUUAUCACAACACUGUGGGGUUAUAUCAUUUAGGUGUAAUAUUACACUUUCUAACAACAGUUUACCCUUAAGAUACUUAGUAGGCCUUAUCUAAUAUUCUGUUCACCUCUUGUGUUUUUCCUUCCCACAUGGCCAAAAUUUGACUUUUCAACCCCACCAAAAUAGAGACUAAGACAGUUUUAGGGAACUUUAAACACAUUUGAAUGGGGUCUUAAUGUGUUUAUUAGUUGCUGAAAUACAUUGGAGAAAUAGAUGAUUAAAUGGUGAUUACUGACAUAUCAGUGCUUUAUUAGACGUUUUUUCAGAAAAAAGGCGGACAAGAUUUGACAAACUGCUCUGGCUAUCGAGUUAACACUGGAAUCCUAUGCCAAAUAGCCACUUAAUCACCCUAUCUCUGUUGAGACGACAGAACUUUGUGCUAUUUAAACAGGUCAUGGUUGACGCUCUGGAAAGCUUCAAGUGGUGAACAGGCAGCGAGAACCACAAAGGGGAUAUCACAUAUGGUUAUGAAUUAAAAAUGAACAUAAGUAGGCCAUUCUUCCCAAGCUGCCAGGAGUCAGUAACUUUCAUUCACUCGAAUCCUGAAUGAGACACUCUCUUGUUAACGAAGAAUGGUUGAACAGGAGCAGCAGUGAAUGUGCAGGGAAAAACUCCAAAGAAAAAGCAGAAGUAGAAAUCUACGACAAAAGGCCUAGUUAUUACAGCUCAUAGCUUUUUGUUUGAAUGGAGAUGAUUAGCCUAAUCUCUGUAUCAGGUGCCUGUUGCUUAGUAACCACCCAGUUCCAUUUUGAAGUUGCAGCAGCAGCCCCCAUGUAACAUUCUAAUUCAAAACAAAGAAAGAGAUCCUCUUCUUUUUAUUCUCCUCCCGCGUGAGCGUCUUCUCACAGGCGUUGGCACUUUCUGAAUGGAGGUUCGGUUUUAAUGUUGGUGAAUCUCAAACUCAAAAAGGAAGUUAAAUAGAAGAAAAUUAAAG